AUAGCAUAUCAGAAGGCACACCCGGAGAACUGAAACAUCUUAGUACCCGGAGGAAGAAAAAGAAAAUUCGAUUCCCUUAGUAGCGGCGAGCGAAACGGGAAGAGCCCAAACCAACAAGCUUGCUUGUUGGGGUUGUAGGACACUCUAUACGGAGUUACAAAGGACGACAUUAGACGAAUCAUCUGGAAAGAUGAAUCAAAGAAGGUAAUAAUCCUGUAGUCGAAAAUGUUGUCUCUCUUGAGUGGAUCCUGAGUACGACGGAGCACGUGAAAUUCCGUCGGAAUCUGGGAGGACCAUCUCCUAAGGCUAAAUACUCUCUAGUGACCGAUAGUGAACCAGUACCGUGAGGGAAAGGUGAAAAGCACCCCGGAAGGGGAGUGAAAUAGAACCUGAAACCGUGUGCUUACAAGUAGUCAGAGCCCGUUAAUGGGUGAUGGCGUGCCUUUUGUAGAAUGAACCGGCGAGUUACGAUUUGAUGCAAGGUUAAGCAGUAAAUGUGGAGCCGUAGCGAAAGCGAGUCUGAAUAGGGCGUUUAGUAUUUGGUCGUAGACCCGAAACCAGGUGAUCUACCCUUGGUCAGGUUGAAGUUCAGGUAACACUGAAUGGAGGACCGAACCGACUUACGUUGAAAAGUGAGCGGAUGAACUGAGGGUAGCGGAGAAAUUCCAAUCGAACCUGGAGAUAGCUGGUUCUCUCCGAAAUAGCUUUAGGGCUAGCCUCAAGUGAUGAUUAUUGGAGGUAGAGCACUGUUUGGACGAGGGGCCCCUCUCGGGUUACCGAAUUCAGACAAACUCCGAAUGCCAAUUAAUUUAACUUGGGAGUCAGAACAUGGGUGAUAAGGUCCGUGUUCGAAAGGGAAACAGCCCAGACCACCAGCUAAGGUCCCAAAAUAUAUGUUAAGUGGAAAAGGAUGUGGCGUUGCCCAGACAACUAGGAUGUUGGCUUAGAAGCAGCCAUCAUUUAAAGAGUGCGUAAUAGCUCACUAGUCGAGUGACACUGCGCCGAAAAUGUACCGGGGCUAAACAUAUUACCGAAGCUGUGGAUUGUCCUUUGGACAAUGGUAGGAGAGCGUUCUAAGGGCGUUGAAGCAUGAUCGUAAGGACAUGUGGAGCGCUUAGAAGUGAGAAUGCCGGUGUGAGUAGCGAAAGACGGGUGAGAAUCCCGUCCACCGAUUGACUAAGGUUUCCAGAGGAAGGCUCGUCCGCUCUGGGUUAGUCGGGUCCUAAGCUGAGGCCGACAGGCGUAGGCGAUGGAUAACAGGUUGAUAUUCCUGUACCACCUAUAAUCGUUUUAAUCGAUGGGGGGACGCAGUAGGAUAGGCGAAGCGUGCGAUUGGAUUGCACGUCUAAGCAGUAAGGCUGAGUAUUAGGCAAAUCCGGUACUCGUUAAGGCUGAGCUGUGAUGGGGAGAAGACAUUGUGUCUUCGAGUCGUUGAUUUCACACUGCCGAGAAAAGCCUCUAGAUAGAAAAUAGGUGCCCGUACCGCAAACCGACACAGGUAGUCAAGAUGAGAAUUCUAAGGUGAGCGAGCGAACUCUCGUUAAGGAACUCGGCAAAAUGACCCCGUAACUUCGGGAGAAGGGGUGCUCUUUAGGGUUAACGCCCAGAAGAGCCGCAGUGAAUAGGCCCAAGCGACUGUUUAUCAAAAACACAGGUCUCUGCUAAACCGUAAGGUGAUGUAUAGGGGCUGACGCCUGCCCGGUGCUGGAAGGUUAAGAGGAGUGGUUAGCUUCUGCGAAGCUACGAAUCGAAGCCCCAGUAAACGGCGGCCGUAACUAUAACGGUCCUAAGGUAGCGAAAUUCCUUGUCGGGUAAGUUCCGACCCGCACGAAAGGCGUAACGAUUUGGGCACUGUCUCAACGAGAGACUCGGUGAAAUCAUAGUACCUGUGAAGAUGCAGGUUACCCGCGACAGGACGGAAAGACCCCGUGGAGCUUUACUGUAGCCUGAUAUUGAAAUUCGGCACAGCUUGUACAGGAUAGGUAGGAGCCUUUGAAACGUGAGCGCUAGCUUACGUGGAGGCGCUGGUGGGAUACUACCCUAGCUGUGUUGGCUUUCUAACCCGCACCACUUAUCGUGGUGGGAGACAGUGUCAGGCGGGCAGUUUGACUGGGGCGGUCGCCUCCUAAAAGGUAACGGAGGCGCUCAAAGGUUCCCUCAGAAUGGUUGGAAAUCAUUCAUAGAGUGUAAAGGCAUAAGGGAGCUUGACUGCGAGACCUACAAGUCGAGCAGGGUCGAAAGACGGACUUAGUGAUCCGGUGGUUCCGCAUGGAAGGGCCAUCGCUCAACGGAUAAAAGCUACCCCGGGGAUAACAGGCUUAUCUCCCCCAAGAGUUCACAUCGACGGGGAGGUUUGGCACCUCGAUGUCGGCUCAUCGCAUCCUGGGGCUGUAGUCGGUCCCAAGGGUUGGGCUGUUCGCCCAUUAAAGCGGUACGCGAGCUGGGUUCAGAACGUCGUGAGACAGUUCGGUCCCUAUCCGUCGUGGGCGUAGGAAAUUUGAGAGGAGCUGUCCUUAGUACGAGAGGACCGGGAUGGACAUACCUCUGGUGUACCAGUUGUCGUGCCAACGGCAUAGCUGGGUAGCUAUGUGUGGACGGGAUAAGUGCUGAAAGCAUCUAAGCAUGAAGCCCCCCUCAAGAUGAGAUUUCCCAACUUCGGUUAUAAGAUCCCUCAAAGAUGAUGAGGUUAAUAGGUUCGAGGUGGAAGCAUGGUGACAUGUGGAGCUGACGAAUACUAAUCGAUCGAAGACUUAAUCAA
This 2758-nucleotide ribosomal RNA is filed under the name Staphylococcus aureus WMCA6126. RNAcentral's name for it is "bacterial LSU rRNA". It matches the Rfam family "Bacterial large subunit ribosomal RNA". The record is from RNAcentral. Lineage: Bacteria; Bacillati; Bacillota; Bacilli; Caryophanales; Staphylococcaceae.